RNAcentral lists this unclassified non-coding RNA (203 nucleotides) under soil metagenome. RNAcentral's name for it is "partial contains 5.8S ribosomal RNA, internal transcribed spacer 2, and large subunit ribosomal RNA". The record is from RNAcentral.
AACCUAGCACACCUGCGGUGUGUACCUGCGGAGGGAUCAUUAUCUAGAGUAUUGUAGGCUUUGUCCUGCUGUCUCUUACCCAUGUUUUUUGAGUACUUACGUUUCCUCGGCGGGUUCGCCCGCCGGCUGGACAAUUUAAACCCAUUGCAGUUGCAAUCAGCGUCUGAAAAACUUUAAUAGUUACAACUUUUAACAACGGAUCU